This 1345-nucleotide ribosomal RNA is filed under the name uncultured bacterium. RNAcentral's name for it is "partial 16S ribosomal RNA". It matches the Rfam family "Bacterial small subunit ribosomal RNA", at positions 28 to 1380 of the family's 1533-position model. The record is from RNAcentral.
GACGAACGCUGGCGGCGUGCUUAACACAUGCAAGUCGAACGGAAAGGCCCUGCUUUUGUGGGGUGCUCGAGUGGCGAACGGGUGAGUAACACGUGAGUAACCUGCCCUUGACUUUGGGAUAACUUCAGGAAACUGGGGCUAAUACCGGAUAGGAGCUCCUGCUGCAUGGUGGGGGUUGGAGAGUUUCGGCGGUUGGGGAUGGACUCGCGGCUUAUCAGCUUGUUGGUGGGGUAGUGGCUUACCAAGGCUUUGACGGGUAGCCGGCCUGAGAGGGUGACCGGCCACAUUGGGACUGAGAUACGGCCCAGACUCCUACGGGAGGCAGCAGUGGGGAAUAUUGCACAAUGGGCGGAAGCCUGAUGCAGCAACGCCGCGUGCGGGAUGACGGCCUUCGGGUUGUAAACCGCUUUCGCCUGUGACGAAGCGUGAGUGACGGUAAUGGGUAAAGAAGCACCGGCUAACUACGUGCCAGCAGCCGCGGUGAUACGUAGGGUGCGAGCGUUGUCCGGAUUUAUUGGGCGUAAAGGGCUCGUAGGUGGUUGAUCGCGUCGGAAGUGUAAUCUUGGGGCUUAACCCUGAGCGUGCUUUCGAUACGGGUUGACUUGAGGAAGGUAGGGGAGAAUGGAAUUCCUGGUGGAGCGGUGGAAUGCGCAGAUAUCAGGAGGAACACCAGUGGCGAAGGCGGUUCUCUGGGCCUUUCCUGACGCUGAGGAGCGAAAGCGUGGGGAGCGAACGGGCUUAGAUACCCUGGUAGUCCACGCUGUAAACGGUGGGUACUAGGUGUGGGGUCCAUUCCACGGGUUCCGUGCCGUAGCUAACGCUUUAAGUACCCCGCCUGGGGAGUACGGCCGCAAGGCUAAAACUCAAAGGAAUUGACGGGGCCCCGCACAAGCGGCGGAGCAUGCGGAUUAAUUCGAUGCAACGCGUAGAACCUUACCUGGGUUUGACAUGGAUCGGGAGUGCUCAGAGAUGGGUGUGCCUCUUUUGGGGUCGGUUCACAGGUGGUGCAUGGCUGUCGUCAGCUCGUGUCGUGAGAUGUUGGGUUAAGUCCCGCAACGAGCGCAACCCUUGUUCACUGUUGCCAGCACGUUAUGGUGGGGACUCAGUGGAGACCGCCGGGGUCAACUCGGAGGAAGGUGGGGAUGACGUCGAGUCAUCAUGCCCCUUAUGUCCAGGGCUUCACGCAUGCUACAAUGGCUGGUACAGAGAGUGGCGAGCCUGUGAGGGUGAGCGAAUCUCGGAAAGCCGGUCUCAGUUCGGAUUGGGGUCUGCAACUCGACCUCAUGAAGUCGGAGUCGCUAGUAAUCGCAGAUCAGCAACGCUGCGGUGAAUACGUUCCCGGGGC